This 211-nucleotide unclassified non-coding RNA is filed under the name plant metagenome. Its description in RNAcentral is "partial contains small subunit ribosomal RNA, internal transcribed spacer 1, and 5.8S ribosomal RNA". The record is from RNAcentral.
UUUCCGUAGGUGAACCUGCGGAAGGAUCAUUCAUAAUAAAGUGCUUAAUGGCACUUUUUAAAAAUCCAUAUCCACCUUCUGUGCAAUGUUAGUUCUCGUCAAUCUUGGCCAGAUUUUUAUACAUCAACUCAUUUGUUAACUAAUUUGUCUGAAAAAUAUUAUGAAUACUUAAUUCAACAUACAACUUUCAACAACGGAUCUCUUGGCUCUC